This 550-nucleotide ribosomal RNA is filed under the name uncultured bacterium. Its description in RNAcentral is "bacterial SSU rRNA". It matches the Rfam family "Bacterial small subunit ribosomal RNA", at positions 355 to 896 of the family's 1533-position model. The record is from RNAcentral.
UAGGGAAUCUUCGGCAAUGGACGGAAGUCUGACCGAGCAACGCCGCGUGAGUGAAGAAGGUUUUCGGAUCGUAAAGCUCUGUUGUAAGAGAAGAACGAGUGUGAGAGUGGAAAGUUCACACUGUGACGGUAUCUUACCAGAAAGGGACGGCUAACUACGUGCCAGCAGCCGCGGUAAUACGUAGGUCCCGAGCGUUGUCCGGAUUUAUUGGGCGUAAAGCGAGCGCAGGCGGUUAGAUAAGUCUGGAGUUAAAGGCUGUGGCUUAACCAUAGUAGGCUUUGGAAACUGUUUAACUUGAGUGCAAGAGGGGAGAGUGGAAUUCCAUGUGUAGCGGUGAAAUGCGUAGAUAUAUGGAGGAACACCGGUGGCGAAAGCGGCUCUCUGGCUUGUAACUGACGCUGAGGCUCGAAAGCGUGGGGAGCAAACAGGAUUAGAUACCCUGGUAGUCCACGCUGUAAACGAUGAGUGCUAGGUGUUAGACCCUUUCCGGGGUUUAGUGCCGUAGCUAACGCAUUAAGCACUCCGCCUGGGGAGUACGACCGCAAGGUUG